Molecule: ribosomal RNA, 263 nt
Filed under: uncultured archaeon
Lineage: Archaea
Description: partial 16S ribosomal RNA
Rfam family: Archaeal small subunit ribosomal RNA
Source: RNAcentral
AGUCACUGACAUUAGAUACCCCCGUAGUCCAGGGUGUAAACGCUGCAGACUUGGUGUUGGGGCCCUUUGGGGGCAUUCAGUGCCGGAGAGAAGUUGUUAAGUCUGCUACUUGGGGAGUACGUCCGCAAGGAUGAAACUUAAAGGAAUUGGCGGGGGAGCACCGCAACGGGAGGAGCGUGCGGUUUAAUUGGAUUCAACACCGUAAACUCACCAGGGAAGACUGUUACAUGAAGGCCGAGAUGAAGACUCUGCUAGAUUUUCAG